Molecule: unclassified non-coding RNA, 236 nt
Filed under: plant metagenome
Description: partial contains small subunit ribosomal RNA, internal transcribed spacer 1, and 5.8S ribosomal RNA
Source: RNAcentral
UUUCCGUAGGUGAACCUGCGGAAGGAUCAUUACUGAGUGAGGGCCCCUCGGGGUCCAACCUCCCACCCGUGUUUAACGAACCUUGUUGCUUCGGCGGGCCCGCCUCACGGCCGCCGGGGGGCAUCUGCCCCCGGGCCCGCGCCCGCCGAAGCCACCUGUGAACGCUGUCUGAAGUAUGCAGUCUGAGACAAUUACUAAAUUAAUUAAAACUUUCAACAACGGAUCUCUUGGUUCCG